GGUUUCACCUGUGCAUCCCAUUGAACGUUAAGUAAAAACAGGCUUCCUGCUCAGCUCUCUUUACGAAAUGCCAAAUUGUUGCAGACCUACGAAUGAAUAGAAAGUAACACCGCAGGUAUACAGGAAAAUGAUGCAAUGCCUCUUAUGUAUACUGGCGCUGGAUCUUGGGUGCAUAAAACUUAAACGCAGCAGACAUUCAGGGGAGUGGGAGCCAACUUUAGUUGCCCGUAUAUGACCGACUCUGGUGUACAAAUGCUUCUUAAUCUGUACUGAGAGUAUACAAUAACAGAUAAACCAUCACUCCUAAACCUCCAUUACUUUAUUUAAUCCCGCUGGUGGACACACAUUUCACCCUGCCAGCAAAUGAAAGCACUGGUUUGCUAUAGGUCUUUCGCGGGCUGUUAUUCAGCCUCGGGCUUCCAGAGGUUCGGUUGCCUGCCGAGGAGUGUUCAUUUGCGCGUGCGGCGGCUCCACUUUCGAGGACCGCCGCUCCGCGAUGCUGUCUCUAGCAGUUUCAACCGACCCGUCUUGAAACACGGACCAAGGAGUCUAACAUACGUGCGAGUAUGCGGGUGGAAGCCCUGUAUGCGCAAUGAGAGAAAGAGUAGGGAGAGGUUCGUGUUUUUGCGCGCUCCUCGCACCUACGACCGACCACCUUCUGUUAGUAGGUUUGAGUUGUAGCGCGUCUGUUAGGACCCGAAAGAUGGUGAACUAUGCCUGAGUAGGGUGAAGUCAGGCGAAAGCCUGAUGGAGGCUCGUAGCGAUAAUGACGUGCAAAUUGUUCGUCAAACUUGGGUAUAGGGGCGAAAGACUAAUCGAACCGUCUAGUAGCUGGUUUCUUCCGAAGUUUCUCUCAGAAUAGCUGGAGUUCAAUUAGUUUUAUCAGGUAAAGCGAAUGAUUAGAGGCCUCGUGGGCGCAGCGCCCUGGACCUAUUCUCAAACUUUAAAUGGGUAAGAUCCAGUGGUUGCUUUGUUGAACUGCUGGGGUUAAUAUGAACUCCAAGUGGGCCAUUUUUGGUAAGCAGAACUGGCGAUGAGGGAUGCUCCUAACGCUUGGUUAAGGUGCCCAAAUACUCGCUCAUCAGAUACCAUGAAAGGUGUUGGUUUAUUUUGACAGCAGGACGGUGGUCAUGGAAGUCGAAACCCGCUAAGGAGUGUGUAACAACCCACCUGCCAAAUGAAUUAGCCCUGAAAAUAGAUGGCGCUGCAGCAAGGUACCGAUACCAGGCCAUCACCGCAAGUGUGCGAGCACUGGACUUUGCGCGGUGAUGAGUAGGAAGACGUGGAGAUCGUGAAGAAGCGUUUGGCGUAAGCCUGCGUGGAACGGUCUCUAGUGCAGACCUUGGUGGCAGUAGCAAAUAUUCAAAUGAGAACUUUGGAGACUGAAGUGGAGAAGGGUUCCAUGUGAACAGCAAUUGGACAUGGGUUAGCCGGUCCUAAGCGACAGCUUAACUGCGCAUAAGGGCGGCUUCACCGCCGCCUGGGCGCGAAAGAGAAUCAGGAUAAUAUUCCUGAGCCAGGACGUGGAUACUGUACGGUAACGUGAGUGAACUCCUCGACGCAGGCGGGUGCCCCGGGAAGCGUUGUCUUUGCUCCUUAACAGCCUCCUCUACAUACCCUGGAAUCAGAUUAUCUGGAGAUAGGGUUGACUGGCUGGUAAAGCUUCCUGGCAGGAAGUCCGGUGCGCUCCCGACUGCCCCUGAAAAGAGGAGGGAAAGUCGUUAUUUGCACCCUGGCCGUACCAUUAACUGCAUCAGAUCUCCAAGGCCAGCAGCCUCUGGUCGAGAGAAGAAAGUAGAUAAGGGAAGUCGGCAAAAUGGAUCCGUAACUUCGGGAAAGGGAUUGGCUCUGAGGGCUGGGUGCAUAGCGCCAGUGCGUCCUCCGCGUGUCAGAGCUGCGCGGGCCCUUUCGUGCCUCGCGGCGCGUCUGCGGACUGCCGGCACUGACCGCGGAGCGACCGCUGGUCUUGCGUGCACAGUGAACAGCCAACUCAGAACUGGAGAGGACAAGGGGAAUCCGACUGUUUAAUUAAAACAAAGCGUUGCGAUGGCCGCAAACGGUGUUGACGCAACGUGAUUUCUGCCCAGUGCUCUGAAUGUCAAUGUGAUGAAAUUCAAUCAAGCGCGGGUUAACGGCGGACGUAACUAUGACGUUCUUAAGGUAGCCAAAUGCCUCGUCAUCUAAUUAGUGACGUGCAUGAAUCCAAGGGAACGGGCUUGGCGGAA
This 2225-nucleotide ribosomal RNA is filed under the name Cyclospora cayetanensis. RNAcentral describes it as "eukaryotic LSU rRNA". It matches the Rfam family "Eukaryotic large subunit ribosomal RNA", at positions 437 to 2341 of the family's 3401-position model. The record is from RNAcentral. Lineage: Eukaryota; Apicomplexa; Conoidasida; Eucoccidiorida; Eimeriidae.